CCCUUAGAUGUUCUGGGCUGCACGCGCGCUACACUGAUGCGCUCAACGAGUUUACGACCUUGCCCGGAAGGGUUGGGUAAUCUUUUUAAAACGCAUCGUGAUGGGGAUAGAUUAUUGCAAUUAUUAAUCUUUAACGAGGAAUUCCUAGUAAGCGCGAGUCAUCAGCUCGUGCUGAUUACGUCCCUGCCCUUUGUACACACCGCCCGUCGCUCCUACCGAUUGAAUGAUUUAGUGAGUACCAGGGACCGAGCGCUUUGGUUGGGUUUCCUUCCCUAGCGCUUGGGAACUGUCGCAAACUUGACCAUUUAGAGGAAGUAAAAGUCGUAACA
RNAcentral lists this ribosomal RNA (329 nucleotides) under uncultured eukaryote. Its description in RNAcentral is "partial 18S ribosomal RNA". It matches the Rfam family "Eukaryotic small subunit ribosomal RNA", at positions 1470 to 1796 of the family's 1831-position model. The record is from RNAcentral.